CUGGGAUAAGCUUGGGAAACUGGGUCUAAUACCGGAUAGGAGCCAUCUUUAGUGUGGUGGUUGGAAAGUUUUUUCGGUGUAGGAUGAGCUCGCGGCCUAUCAGCUUGUUGGUGGGGUAAUGGCCUACCAAGGCGGCGACGGGUAGCCGGCCUGAGAGGGUGUACGGCCACAUUGGGACUGAGAUACGGCCCAG
Molecule: ribosomal RNA, 193 nt
Filed under: uncultured Actinomycetales bacterium
Lineage: Bacteria; Bacillati; Actinomycetota; Actinomycetes; Actinomycetales
Description: partial 16S ribosomal RNA
Rfam family: Bacterial small subunit ribosomal RNA
Source: RNAcentral